AUUGAACGCUGGCGGCAGGCCUAACACAUGCAAGUCGAACGGUAACAGGAAGCAGCUUGCUGCUUUGCUGACGAGUGGCGGACGGGUGAGUAAUGUCUGGGAAACUGCCUGAUGGAGGGGGAUAACUACUGGAAACGGUAGCUAAUACCGCAUAACGUCGCAAGACCAAAGAGGGGGACCUUAGGGCCUCUUGCCAUCGGAUGUGCCCAGAUGGGAUUAGCUAGUAGGUGGGGUAACGGCUCACCUAGGCGACGAUCCCUAGCUGGUCUGAGAGGAUGACCAGCCACACUGGAACUGAGACACGGUCCAGACUCCUACGGGAGGCAGCAGUGGGGAAUAUUGCACAAUGGGCGCAAGCCUGAUGCAGCCAUGCCGCGUGUAUGAAGAAGGCCUUCGGGUUGUAAAGUACUUUCAGCGGGGAGGAAGGGAGUAAAGUUAAUACCUUUGCUCAUUGACGUUACCCGCAGAAGAAGCACCGGCUAACUCCGUGCCAGCAGCCGCGGUAAUACGGAGGGUGCAAGCGUUAAUCGGAAUUACUGGGCGUAAAGCGCACGCAGGCGGUUUGUUAAGUCAGAUGUGAAAUCCCCGGGCUCAACCUGGGAACUGCAUCUGAUACUGGCAAGCUUGAGUCUCGUAGAGGGGGGUAGAAUUCCAGGUGUAGCGGUGAAAUGCGUAGAGAUCUGGAGGAAUACCGGUGGCGAAGGCGGCCCCCUGGACGAAGACUGACGCUCAGGUGCGAAAGCGUGGGGAGCAAACAGGAUUAGAUACCCUGGUGGUCCACGCCGUAAACGAUGUCGACUUGGAGGUUGUGCCCUUGAGGCGUGGCUUCCGGAGCUAACGCGUUAAGUCGACCGCCUGGGGAGUACGGCCGCAAGGUUAAAACUCAAAUGAAUUGACGGGGGCCCGCACAAGCGGUGGAGCAUGUGGUUUAAUUCGAUGCAACGCGAAGAACCUUACCUGGUCUUGACAUCCACGGAAGUUUUCAGAGAUGAGAAUGUGCCUUCGGGAACCGUGAGACAGGUGCUGCAUGGCUGUCGUCAGCUCGUGUUGUGAAAUGUUGGGUUAAGUCCCGCAACGAGCGCAACCCUUAUCCUUUGUUGCCAGCGGUCCGGCCGGGAACUCAAAGGAGACUGCCAGUGAUAAACUGGAGGAAGGUGGGGAUGACGUCAAGUCAUCAUGGCCCUUACGACCAGGGCUACACACGUGCUACAAUGGCGCAUACAAAGAGAAGCGACCUCGCGAGAGCAAGCGGACCUCAUAAAGUGCGUCGUAGUCCGGAUUGGAGUCUGCAACUCGACUCCAUGAAGUCGGAAUCGCUAGUAAUCGUGGAUCAGAAUGCCACGGUGAAUACGUUCCCGGGCCUUGUACACACCGCCCGUCACACCAUGGGAGUGGGUUGCAAAAGAAGUAGGUAGCUUAACCUUCGGGAGGGCGCUUACCACUUUGUGAUUCAUGACUGGGGUGAAGUCGUAACAAGGUA
This 1480-nucleotide ribosomal RNA is filed under the name uncultured bacterium. RNAcentral describes it as "bacterial SSU rRNA". It matches the Rfam family "Bacterial small subunit ribosomal RNA". The record is from RNAcentral.